AGGAUUGUUAAGUAAAAUUCACUAUGUAUUGUAACCUGAUCCUUAGUGUUGUGCUGCUUUGUUGGGGUGAGCAGGUCUUUGCACAAGCAGGAACUGACUUCUACCCUUUUGGCGGUGCCAAUGGAGACACAUUAAUCCCAAAUCAGAUGAUGGUGGAUCAUGUUUGAUUGAGAUU
Molecule: long non-coding RNA, 175 nt
Organism: Polyodon spathula (Mississippi paddlefish)
Lineage: Eukaryota; Metazoa; Chordata; Actinopteri; Acipenseriformes; Polyodontidae
Exons: 3
Source: RefSeq, a predicted model, not a curated record